This 373-nucleotide ribosomal RNA is filed under the name uncultured organism. RNAcentral describes it as "bacterial SSU rRNA". It matches the Rfam family "Bacterial small subunit ribosomal RNA", at positions 526 to 896 of the family's 1533-position model. The record is from RNAcentral.
CGGAGGGGGCAAGCGUUGUUCGGAUUUACUGGGCGUAAAGGGUGUGUAGGCGGUUGCGCAAGUCUGGUGUGAAAUCUUCACCGCUUAACGGGAAGAGGUCACUGGAAACUGCGUAACUCGAGUAUGGUAGAGGCAAGCGGAAUUCCUGGUGUAGCGGUGGAAUGUGUAGAUAUCAGGAAGAACAUCUGUGGCGAAGGCGGCUUGCUGGGCCAUCACUGACGCUGAGACACGAAAGCGUGGGGAGCAAACGGGAUUAGAUACCCCGGUAGUCCACGCUGUAAACGGUGCGCACUAGGUGUGGGAGGUAUCGACCCCUUCUGUGCCGCAGUCAACACAUUAAGUGCGCCGCCUGGGGAGUACGGCCGCAAGGUUG